Molecule: ribosomal RNA, 263 nt
Filed under: uncultured bacterium
Lineage: Bacteria
Description: partial 16S ribosomal RNA
Rfam family: Bacterial small subunit ribosomal RNA
Source: RNAcentral
GGCGACGCUACGGGUGAGUAACGCGUAUCCAACCUGCCCUUUACUAUGGGACAGCCCGUCGAAAGGCGGAUUAAUACCGUAUGUUGUCAUGUUGAUGCAUAUUUUCAUGACCAAAGGCUUCGGCCGGUAAAGGAUGGGGAUGCGUCUGAUUAGCUUGCCGGCGGGGUAACGGCCCACCGGGGCGACGAUCAGUAGGGGUUCUGAGAGGAAGGUCCCCCACAUUGGAACUGAGACACGGUCCAAACUCCUACGGGAGGCAGCAG